Molecule: long non-coding RNA, 539 nt
Organism: Tribolium castaneum (red flour beetle)
Lineage: Eukaryota; Metazoa; Arthropoda; Insecta; Coleoptera; Tenebrionidae
Exons: 4
Source: RefSeq, a predicted model, not a curated record
CUUUUUUUGACAAGUACGUCAACUGUUGCGUGAGAGCGGCAGUUUUCGGGCGGCGGCCGGAGCGGUCGGACGUGUGUCUGUGCGUGCGUCUUGUUCGUUAAAUUAUUAAAUAAAUUAUUAAACCGCGACCGCGACACGAAUUAAUUAAAGUGAUUCUGUGCUGUGCUGUGUUGUGCUGCGAAAUUUUAAGGAUAUUUUGUACAAAGGACCGUUUAACCGCAAAAAUUUUUAUCACAUGUUUUGAAGCAAGGGUCGUACUGUUGCUCGCCCAACACGAAUAAACAGUCGUCAAAUGUGCUAACCAUUGCAAUUUCCGCUUGGAGUUAUGAAUUUUGAGAGCUCAAAAGCUGGUGUCUGUGUUGGAUUGCUUUACGGACUGGUUGCGGCCGGCCUGCGGGAUCCGGAGGACUUCAAAGACAUUCUUCGUCUGGAUCUUCAAAAAUUAUUUUUUUUUAACUGGCAAUAAUUAUUAUUGAACAUUGUUAUAUAUUUGUGUGAUUGAUUAUGUUUUAUGAAUAAACGCUAGAGAAAUGUGUCUU